AUGGCUCCGGGCAUGGGGGUGGGCAGCAGCGACGGGCGGCACGAUGACGAGGCCGUACUCACCGAGUUCCUCUCCUCCCUCAUGGACUACAACCCCACGAUUCCGGACGAGCUCGUGGAGCACUACCUCGGUCGCAGCGGCUUCCACUGCCCCGACCUACGCCUUACAAGGUUGGUUGCUGUAGCUACUCAAAAGUUCAUUUCAGACAUCGCAAGUGACUCCCUUCAGCAUUGCAAAGCCAGGGUUGCAGCACCUAUCAAAGACAACAAGAGCAAACAACCGAAGGAUAGACGUCUUGUAUUGACGAUGGAUGAUCUUUCAAAAGCCCUGCGUGAGCUAGGAACAUCUUACCAGCAUACCAGUACAACGGCACCUUACAUGAAAUCAGCAUUUAAGCUCCUGACACUUACGUGUCUAAUUGACAAACGAUUUCCUACAGUUUUGCCUUCUAACCAUGUUUUGGAGUCCAUACUGGUGGCAGCUCCUUAA
This 489-nucleotide ribosomal RNA is filed under the name Triticum aestivum (bread wheat). RNAcentral describes it as "partial small subunit ribosomal RNA". The record is from RNAcentral. Lineage: Eukaryota; Viridiplantae; Streptophyta; Magnoliopsida; Poales; Poaceae.